Molecule: long non-coding RNA, 715 nt
Filed under: Rattus norvegicus (Norway rat)
Lineage: Eukaryota; Metazoa; Chordata; Mammalia; Rodentia; Muridae
Description: long non-coding RNA NONRATT034096
Rfam family: Pvt1 oncogene conserved region 5 (bases 469-621)
Source: RNAcentral
GACAGCCCAUGCUUCUUCAGGUAUCAGCCUCAGAAUGGAGGUCACUUGGAGUCCAGGAUCUUAACUAAAUGGAGUCCCCCAGUGUCCAUACCUUUUCAAUGGGGAGACCGAGGCUAGGGUCUGGAUUUUCCCAAGGCUGGUUCUGUUCCUCAUAGAGCUAUCUUCUCAGAAUGAAGAAGCUCCUGCCUGGUUGCUUCCAAGGCCUUUUCUACUUCAGGACCAUGGAAGCCGAGUCAUUCAAAGCAACUGUGGACUGCUCAAGGAGUGACUAAUUUGGGAAAUCUUACAUCAGUUCGGAAGCUUGGGUUGCCAGUUGUCAUCUCCUUCAUUCCAGGAGUUUGAAAAUUUAUAACUGUAGGAGCAAGUCUGCAAACCAUAGUGAUCUGUUGAUUGCCUUCUGUGAACUGUUCACAUAGACCACAGGAACAUCAUGUUUCACAGUUCUAGUAAUGGAGACUAUGACUUUGGGAUGCUUCUGCACUUUGCAUUUUUGGACUGUCAUAUGAAGCAUGUGUUUGGUUCAGUGGAUAGCAAGCAUAUCCUUUAAGCAUUCCAGAAGGAUUUUGAGAACCAUCCUUUCCUAAAUCAAAGCUAGAAUAUUUGGAGAUUUGGAAAAUUGAGGUCAGAUCAGAAGGACUUCUCGGAAAGCUGGACCUCAUGGCACUCACCGAUCAUUCUGAUAUCCAGAGAAGCCGAGGUGAGAAGCAUUGAUUUA